GGGGGGGUGGGGCCCUUUAUCCUUCUUCGUUGCAGAUGCGCUGGAUCUCACAUGGCGAUAUCAACUCUUUAUUUUUUAUAUUUGCCUUGAAUUUAAGAUUCGAAUCUGAAACAAUUCCGGUUCCCGAACCAAUCACGAAAGCUCUCCGUCUCUUCAAAGUACAGCGAAUUGCCUAUCCUCGGCCACAAUCGCCCUCUGCAAAUCGCCUAAACCCACAUUAGCACAUGUAAACACCAACCUUUCCGUCAAUCGACACUGAUCAUUCACCACCGCGUUCCGCACACUGCUCCAUCUACACGCGCCGUCGCUAAACUCGCAGAAGACCACCUCUUCUGGCGCUGAUGUCUUGCUUAUAUACACAAAAUCGCCCAUCACAUUGAUAACUGCCGAUGACAUGCUACAAAAGUCACCUCUAAGCUUUUCCACUAGCUGCUUAGGCAUUUCACCAAUCUCUCUGCAGAACUCAAACGACGAGCCGUUUAGCUCCCACAAUUUGACGCUGGUAACUUCUUCCCCAUGAUCGUCUCCGAUCAGACAGAUCAAAAUCAGAUGGUCGUUAGCGAAUCCGAUGGCGGAGCUGCACACAUUUCCAUGAGGACGCAGACUGUAAGGUCCGUACCAGGACUUGGUUUCUGGAUCGAAGCAGUAAGAUACACCAGUACUCUUCUCUGCCACAUACAUUUUGUUACCUGAGACUGCAGUGGAGAGCCACGUGGAGGCGGCGGAAUCCUUGAAGUGCGCGGGCAAGGACUCGCAUGUGUCCCACGUGCGAGUCUUGAGGUCGUACAUUUCCACAGCCAGAGGAUCAUCCUCGAAAUCGCAAGCACCGCCAGCGACGAUUACACGGUGGCCAACGACGGCGACGAUGGGGUCCGUUCUCCAGACGAGUGGAGAGUCAACAUUGUGCCACGUGAGAUGCAAGGGGUCAAAAGAGAAGGAAAAUUUGGAGGGUGAUAACAUGUAGAGGAGCGUGGAAUGAGAAGAUCGAAGGGCUGAGAUGUAUUUGAUGGGGGGAUGGUGGAUCUGGAGCCAGACGCGCGAGCGAGGAUCGUAAGCGUACGCGGUUGUGGAGUAAGGAGACCUGGUGGCCUGACAGUGGAGAAGAAGCCAGGGUUUGAUUUUGUUGAAGUGACGAAGAGAAGUUGAAACGGCGCGUUUCCAGGACUUGGAGACAUGGGAAGCAGCGACAAGGUCGAUGAGAGGCACGUGAGUGAAAACAGACUCUAAGAUGUCUCCAUGAUAUGAGGUUGCUUCUUCUUUUUCACCUUGUGCUGUUGUUUCUUCAUCCUUGCUCUGUUUUGCCAUUUUAGAUUUUUUCUUUCUUUCUUGUUGUUAAUGAAAGAGAAGGCGUUGUAGAUGUUUUUAUACAGGAUUUUGGGGUAUGGUAUGAAGUAAAAAAUUUCUGAGUCAAAAAAAAGAAGAAGCAACCUCAUAUCAUGGA
Molecule: unclassified non-coding RNA, 1441 nt
Filed under: Hevea brasiliensis (rubber tree)
Lineage: Eukaryota; Viridiplantae; Streptophyta; Magnoliopsida; Malpighiales; Euphorbiaceae
Source: RNAcentral